GAUGAACGCUGGCGGCGUGCCUAAUACAUGCAAGUCGAGCGCAUGGUCGAGCAGCUUGCCUUUCUGCUGUUAGCGGCGGACGGGUGAGUAACACGUGGAUACCCUACCUUUACCACUGCGAUAACUUCGGGAAACCGGAGCUAAUACCGGAUAAUACUUUGUACUUCAUUUUUCAACAGUGUAAGACGGUCUUGCUGUCUCUUACAUAUGUAUCCGCGCUGCAUUGGGUAGUUGGUAUGGUAACGGCUUACCAAGGCGACAAUGCAUAGCCGACCUGGGAGGGUGAUCGGCCACACUGGAACUGAGACACGGUCCAGACUCCUACGGGAGGCAGCAGAAGGGAAUCUUCCGCAAAGGGGGAAAGCCUGACGGAGCAACGCCGCGUGAGUGAUGAGGGUCUUCGGAUCGUAAAACUCUGUUAUUAGGGAAGAACAUAUGUGUAAGUAACUGCGCACAUCUUGACGGUACCUAAUCAGAAAGCCACGGCUAACUACGUG
RNAcentral lists this ribosomal RNA (497 nucleotides) under uncultured bacterium. RNAcentral's name for it is "partial 16S ribosomal RNA". It matches the Rfam family "Bacterial small subunit ribosomal RNA", at positions 28 to 507 of the family's 1533-position model. The record is from RNAcentral.